RNAcentral lists this ribosomal RNA (139 nucleotides) under uncultured eukaryote. RNAcentral's name for it is "partial 18S ribosomal RNA". It matches the Rfam family "Eukaryotic small subunit ribosomal RNA", at positions 1299 to 1458 of the family's 1831-position model. The record is from RNAcentral.
UGGUGGAGCGAUUUGUCUGGUUAAUUCCGUUAACGAACGAGACCUCAGCCUACUAAUUAGUUUAGGUCAAUGAUUUCAUUGAUCGAACUUCUUAGAGGGACUAUCGGUUUUCAGCCGAGGGAAGUUUGAGGCCAUAACA